RNAcentral lists this small RNA (3348 nucleotides) under Pongo abelii (Sumatran orangutan). RNAcentral describes it as "retained intron". The record is from RNAcentral. Lineage: Eukaryota; Metazoa; Chordata; Mammalia; Primates; Hominidae.
CCAUUUGUCCAUUUUUGCUUUGGUGCCUGUGCUUUUGGGGUAUUCAAGAAAUCUUUGCCCAGAUCAGUGUCCUGGAGAGUUUCCCCAAUGUUUUAUUUUAGUAGCUUCAUAGUUUGAGGUCUUAGAUUUAAAUCUUUAAUCCAUUUUUAUUUGAUUUUUGUAGACGAUGAGAGAUAGGGGUCUAGUUUUAUUCUUUUGCUUAUGGAUAUGUAGUUUUUCCAGCACCAUUUAUUGAAGACACUGUUCUUUCCCCCAAUGUAUGUUCUUGGCACCUUUGUUGAAAAUGAGUUCACUGUAGAUGUAUGGAUUUAUUUCUGGAUUCUCUGUUCUGUUCCAUUGGUCCAUGUGUCUGUUUUUAUACCAGUACCAUGCAAUUUUGGUUCCUAUAACUCCGUAGUAUAAUUUGAAGUCAGGUAAUGUGAUUCCUCCAGUUGUGUUUUUUUGCUGAGGGUCAGGUUUUUUGCUAUUCUGGGUCUUUUGUAGUUCUGUAUAAAUUUUAGGAUUUUUUUUACUAUUUCUGUGAAGAAUGUCAUUGGUAUUUUGAUAGGGAUUGCAUGUAAUCUGUAGAUUGCUUUGAGUAGUAUAGACAUUUUAACAAUAUUGAGUCUUCCAAUCCAUGAACAUGGUAUAUCUUUGUGUCCUCUUUGAUUUCUUGCGUUAGUGUUUUAUAGUUUUCAUUGUAGAGAUCUUUCACUUCUUUGAUUAAGUUAUUCUUAGGUAUCUUAUUUUAUUUAUAGCUUUUGUAAAUACAAUUACUUUCUUGAUUUCUUCUUCAGAUUGUUUGCUAUUGGCAUAUAGAAACGCUAUUGAUUUUUGUAUAUUAAUUUUAUAUCCUGCAACUUUAGUGAGUUUGCUUUUUAGUUCUAAUAGUUUUUGGCGGAUUUUUUUAGGUUUUCCUAAAUGUAAGAUCAUAUUAUUCACAAACAUGGAUAAUUUGACUUCUUCCUUUCCAUUUUGGAUGCCCUUCAUUUCUUCCUCUUGUCUGAUUGCUGUAGCUGGCACUAGCUUCUUCUUUUUGCCACAGCAGCCUGCCUUAGAAACAUGAACACUCUUUCUUUUGCAGUUUUAAAAGAAGGUAGACAGCUGACCUAUGAGAAAGUGAACUUGAGUAGCAUUAGGGCCAUGCUGAAUAGCAAUGAUGUCAGCGAGUACCUGAAGAUCUCACCUCAUGGCUUAGAGGCUCGCUGUGAUGCCUCCUCUUUUGAAAGUGUGCGUUGCACCUUUUGUGUGGAUGCCGGGGUAUGGUACUAUGAAGUAACAGUGGUCACUUCUGGCGUCAUGCAGAUUGGCUGGGCCACUCGAGACAGCAAAUUCCUCAAUCAUGAAGGCUACGGCAUUGGGGAUGAUGAAUACUCCUGUGCGUAUGAUGGCUGCCGGCAGCUGAUUUGGUACAAUGCCAGAAGUAAGCCUCACAUACACCCAUGCUGGAAAGAAGGAGAUACAGUAGGAUUUCUGUUAGACUUGAAUGAAAAGCAAAUGAUCUUCUUUUUAAAUGGCAACCAGCUGCCUCCUGAAAAGCAAGUCUUUUCAUCUACUGUAUCUGGAUUUUUUGCUGCAGCUAGUUUCAUGUCAUAUCAACAAUGUGAGUUCAAUUUUGGAGCAAAACCAUUCAAAUACCCACCAUCUAUGAAAUUUAGCACUUUUAAUGACUACGCCUUCCUAACAGCUGAAGAAAAAAUCAUUUUGCCAAGGCACAGGCGUCUUGCUCUGUUGAAGCAAGUCAGUAUCCGAGAAAACUGCUGUUCCCUUUGUUGUGAUGAGGUAGCAGACACACAAUUGAAGCCAUGUGGACACAGUGACCUGUGCAUGGAUUGUGCCUUGCAGCUGGAGACCUGCCCAUUGUGUCGUAAAGAAAUAGUAUCUAGAAUCAGACAGAUUUCUCAUAUUUCAUGACACAUGUGAAGAGGCAUCGUGGACUUUUUUCUACUCAAUUCCAGCCAAUGUUGAAAAGAAAAAGAAAAAAAAACUCUCUAAUCGGUUGUACACACAUUGAAACUUAUAGCCAUGGCCAGAUUUUAUGCUAAAAAUGGUAGUUUGUCAAAGACAAAAUUCUCUUAGAAUCUAAUCCAACUUGCCAGCCCUGAGAAAAUCCCUUUUAAGGCCAAGGAAAGCUGAAUGCUAGCAGCCAGGCCUGUGGUACUUCCAUGAAAAACCAUAGCAGACAAUGCCCUCCCAAGUACUGAAAUCACACUGGAAUCCUCCAUGUUGGGUUCAUUUGAUUGUUUAACACAGGAUGUGUUGUGUCAUUCUGAAGUUUUUAUUUGGGGCAGAAGUCUUUAUGGAGAUGUAAAUGACAGCGUUUCUGGGUUAUGCAUAACUUCUCACUGGUCAGAGACACGAGUGUGUCAAGCAUGGAUAUUGCAUUGCAAGACUUGAAUCUAUAAAAAUUAGAAUCACACAGUACUACAAGCAAAACAGAGAACCUGAAAGAAGGUGCACAGACUGUAAGAAAAAACCCAAGUUUGUGAUAUUUCAGUGAUUCCAAAGAACAUUCUAGGUUUUUUGUUUGUUUUUUUGUUUUUUGGGUUUUUUUUUUUUUUACUGCAGAAAAUUGGUGGUAUUUUCACAUUCAUAGUGUUUCUAUCCAAUUUCAGUACCCACAUUUAAUGAGGAAAAAAUGUUUUACCAAUGAAGGAAGAAUUCUUAAAUUAGCUGUAAUGUUAGGUUGGAGAAAAUUUGGUAUUUAGGGUAUUUUUAGGGUACCAUCAAAUCAGAUUUCUGUUUUUUUGUUAAAAAAAUUUUUUUAAUCAGUAUUGUUUUUACAAGUAAUAUACUUUGAAAUUCUUGAACUAAUAGUCUCAAAAAUUCUAGAGGACAGUCUGAGAACACGUAUUUCUAUUGUUCUAAAUAAAUACAUGUUUUUGAAUAGUAAGUUCAAUCAUGAAUUAUUGACUAUGUCUUCAUCAAAAGUGUUAAUCCCUCUCAGGGUCUCUGGUGAAGACCUUCAAGAGUUUGGUUUUUUCUCCCAGGAAAUUGGAAGGUAGAAUUGUAAAUUCUUAGAACUUCUUUUAUAAUGGUGUACCUCAGCAGCUGCCUUUCAAUUUAUGCCAAGUCCUUACAGAGUUUAUACUUGAAUAGUAAAUAUGUCUUCUGAGUUUUACAGUGUCUUAAACUCAAUGCACAUUUUUUUUUCUUCUUUUUCCACCCCUUCUUGUUUGUAGUUCAUUAUACCUGUCCUAUUACAGAACUGAUUUCCUUCCUGGCUGUACAUGUUGGGGUGCUGGAUUUUUUUCCGUGUCUUUAGUCUUCCAUAAAUCCAAAAAUAUAUAUAUAUAUAUAUAAAUAUAUAUGUAGAUACAUGUUCUCUUCUUUAGCUUGUGGUGAAUACAGUAAUUUGCAUUGAAGAAU